This 493-nucleotide ribosomal RNA is filed under the name uncultured bacterium. RNAcentral's name for it is "bacterial SSU rRNA". It matches the Rfam family "Bacterial small subunit ribosomal RNA", at positions 29 to 524 of the family's 1533-position model. The record is from RNAcentral.
AAUUAACGCUGGCAGAGUGCAUAACACAUGCAAGUCGAGCGAGACUGGUCGCAAGAUCAGUCUAGCGGCAGACGAGUGAGUAACACGUAAACAAUCUACCCUUGAAUGGCGAAUAACCAAUCGAAAGGCUGGCUAAUACGCCGUACUCUCCCUUGAAGGCAUCCUCGAGGGAGAAGAGAUCCGCAAGGAUCGUUCUUGGAGGAGUUUGCGGCCCAUCAGCUAGUUGGCGGUGUAAUAGACCACCAAGGCUACGACGGGUACCCGGCCUGAAAGGGCGGACGGGCACGAUGGCACUGAGACACGGGCCAUACUCCUACGGGAGGCAGCAGUGGGGAAUUUUGGACAAUGGGCGAAAGCCUGAUCCAGCAACUCUGCGUGAGGGACGAAGGUCUUCGGAUCGUAAACCUCUUUUACAUGGGAAGAAUACCCGCAAGGGUUCGACGGUACCAUGUGAAUAAGCCACGGCUAACUAUGUGCCAGCCGCCGCCGUAAC